CUCCGAGCUGACUAGUCCCAAAUAGGACGGAACGCGCGUCCUGGAU
Molecule: non-coding RNA, 46 nt
Filed under: Schistosoma mansoni
Lineage: Eukaryota; Metazoa; Platyhelminthes; Trematoda; Strigeidida; Schistosomatidae
Source: RNAcentral